This 199-nucleotide ribosomal RNA is filed under the name uncultured bacterium. Its description in RNAcentral is "partial 16S ribosomal RNA". It matches the Rfam family "Bacterial small subunit ribosomal RNA", at positions 328 to 539 of the family's 1533-position model. The record is from RNAcentral.
ACGCUCGACACCUACGGGAGGCAGCAGUUGGGAAUAUUGGACAAUGGAGGAGACUCUGAUCCAGUGACGCCGCGUGAAGGAAGAAGGUCUUCGGAUUGUAAACUUAUUUUGUCAGGGAAGAAAAAAUGACUGUACCUGAAGAAAAGCACCGGCUAACUACGUGCCAACAGCCGCGGUAAUCUGAGCGGGCUGGCAAGGC